GACGAACGCUGGCGGCGUGCUUAACACAUGCAAGUCGAACGGAAACGCCCUGCUUUUGUGGGCUUCUCGAGUGGCGAACGGGUGAGUAACACGUGAGUAACCGGCCCUAGACUUUGGGAUAACUUCAGGUAACGGGAGCUAAUACCAGAUAGGAUCUGCCGCUCCGUUGUGGGGGGUGGAAAGUUUAGGCGGUUGGGGCUGGACGCGCGGCUGACCAGCUUGCUGGUUGGGGAGUGGCUUACCAAGGCAUUGGCGGGUAGCCGGCAGGGGAGGGUGACCGGCGACAGUGGGACUGAGAUACGGCCCAGACUCCAACGGGAGGCAGCGGUGGGGAAUAUUGCACAAUGGGAGGAAGCCUGAUGCAGCAACGCCGCGUGCGGGAUGACGGCCUUCGGGUUGUAAACCGCUUUCGCCUGUGACGAAGCGUGAGUGACGGUACUGGGUAAAGAAGCACCGGCUAACUACGUG
This 468-nucleotide ribosomal RNA is filed under the name uncultured bacterium. RNAcentral describes it as "partial 16S ribosomal RNA". It matches the Rfam family "Bacterial small subunit ribosomal RNA", at positions 28 to 507 of the family's 1533-position model. The record is from RNAcentral.